RNAcentral lists this ribosomal RNA (372 nucleotides) under uncultured organism. RNAcentral describes it as "partial 16S ribosomal RNA". It matches the Rfam family "Bacterial small subunit ribosomal RNA", at positions 527 to 896 of the family's 1533-position model. The record is from RNAcentral.
GUAGGUGGCAAGCGUUGUCCGGAAUUAUUGGGCGUAAAGCGCGCGCAGGCAGUUCUUUAAGUCUGAUGUGAAAGCCCACGGCUCAACCGUGGAGGGUCAUUGGAAACUGGAGAACUUGAGUACAGAAGAGGAAAGCGGAAUUCCACGUGUAGCGGUGAAAUGCGUAGAGAUGUGGAGGAACACCAGUGGCGAAGGCGGCUUUCUGGUCUGUAACUGACGCUGAGGCGCGAAAGCGUGGGGAGCAAACAGGAUUAGAUACCCUGGUAGUCCACGCCGUAAACGAUGAGUGCUAAGUGUUAGGGGGUUUCCGCCCCCCUUAGUGCUGCAGCUAACGCAUUAAGCACUCCGCCUGGGAGUACGGCCGCAAGGCUG